CUAUCUAUGACUUCACAUCUCUGCCCUCACUUGGGGCCUGUUGCCUUUGGCCCUUGGUCUAAGCCCUGCCCAUAUAUGUCCUCUGGCUCAAGCUCUGAUGAUCACAUGAGACACUUUUCCUUAGACCCAAAAACAGGAUUGUUGGUCAGCUAGCAGAAUGGGCUGGUGGCCCCCUGGCAAGGAUGCCGGCUGUGACUCAAAGGCACCAGGAUUGGGCAAGGGAAAACCCCUUUAGGGAAACCAAUGAAGGUCCUUGGGGGAAAAGAACGGAGACUUGUGGUGGGGAAUUGGCGACUCUGGACAAAAAUAGACCUGGAAGAAAAGCAAAGGCGUCACUACCAGGAACCAGGUCUGCUGGGAAGUGCUGGGGGAAGGCCAACCAGGAGCGCCUGGUCAGGAAGCCAAGGGCACUGCAGCCUCUGUGCUCUGAAGCCAUUGUAGGCUGGGUAAGAAGGUGUGUGAUUACUGGGACUCUGUGUUCUAUACCCUUUCCCCAAAGAGAACAAGGUAUCUGACAGUCCUACGUGAUCUUCUGAGGAUGGCAGAUCAGAGUAUUGGAAUUUGAGGUCUACCCAGAUAAUCUGGAAGGUGUGGGUAUCCUGUUGGAGAGGAGGUGGUGCUUCUCCCCCACCCCAUGUGAAGGGAUGUCAUUAUAUAUUUUUGUUGUCUCUUUGCUUCUUCUUUUCUCUUAUUUAUUAAUUGCUUGAAAACAUGGGCAGGCAGGAGGAUAUUAGUUUCUCCAUUGAUCUUUGUACUUUAUUUUCCACAUACACCUUAAGAGAAUAAGG
Molecule: long non-coding RNA, 788 nt
Filed under: Homo sapiens (human)
Lineage: Eukaryota; Metazoa; Chordata; Mammalia; Primates; Hominidae
Description: long non-coding RNA NONHSAT191470
Source: RNAcentral